GAUGAACGCUAGCUACAGGCUUAACACAUGCAAGUCGAGGGGAAACGACAGAGGAAGCUUGCUUCCUUUGGGCGUCGACCGGCGCACGGGUGAGUAACGCGUAUCCAACCUUCCCGCAAGUAAGGGAUAACCCGUAGAAAUGCGGCCUAAUACCUUAUGUUUUCCUUAGAGGGCAUCUGAUGAGGAACAAAGAUCCGUCGCUUGCGGAUGGGGAUGCGUCUGAUUAGGUUGUUGGCGGGGUAACGGCCCACCAAGCCUACGAUCAGUAGGGGUUCUGAGAGGAAGGUCCCCCACAUUGGAACUGAGACACGGUCCAAACUCCUACGGGAGGCAGCAGUGAGGAAUAUUGGUCAAUGGACGGAAGUCUGAACCAGCCAAGUAGCGUGCAGGAUGACGGCCCUAUGGGUUGUAAACUGCUUUUAUGUGGGAAUAAAGUGAGGGACGUGUCCCUUUUUGUAGGUACCACAUGAAUAAGGACCGGCUAAUUCCGUG
Molecule: ribosomal RNA, 492 nt
Filed under: uncultured bacterium
Lineage: Bacteria
Description: bacterial SSU rRNA
Rfam family: Bacterial small subunit ribosomal RNA
Source: RNAcentral